This 406-nucleotide ribosomal RNA is filed under the name uncultured bacterium. Its description in RNAcentral is "partial 16S ribosomal RNA". It matches the Rfam family "Bacterial small subunit ribosomal RNA", at positions 29 to 526 of the family's 1533-position model. The record is from RNAcentral.
AUUGAACGCUGGCGGCAGGCCUAACACAUGCAAGUCGAACGAGUGGCGGACGGGUGAGUAAUGUCUGGGAAACUGCCUGACGGAGGGGGAUAACUACUGGAAACGGUAGCUAAUACCGCAUACCAUCGGAUGUGCCCAGAUGGGAUUAGCUAGUAGGGUGGGGAAAGGCCCACCUAGGCGACGAUCCCUAGCUGGUCUGAGAGGAUGAACAGCCAAACGGGAACUGAGACACGGUCCAGACGCCUACGGUAGGCAGCAGUGGGGAAUAUGGGACAAUGGGCGAAAGCCUGCUGCAGCCAUGCCGCGUGUAUGAAGAAGGCCUUAGGGUUGUAAAGUACUUUCGGCAGGGAGGCGUUACCCACAGAAGAAGCACCGGCUAACUCCGUGCCAGCAGCCGCGGUAAUUC